GUGCAGGCUGGAAGAGGUGACUGAUGAUGCCAGAACAUCACUGCUGAUGGUCACGGUUCGUGCACAGGUGCUAUUCAAGCCAGCCAGGGCAUCCAGAGCUAUCUCCUCACCUGGAACAAGGAGAUUUACAAGUCCUUGGAGGGGAGCAGGGACUGCAGCCGAGAGCCCAGAGUGUUUUGCCAUCUCUGCUGUGUGCUGGACUGAGCCGGGGCAGCUGCCAGAGGACGCUGGAGGCAUUGUGCUGCCGGACAGGUUUGAAGGCUGGUGUUAAUGAACUGGUGUUAAUGGGCUGGUGUUAAUGGGCACCCUGAUGGUGAGAAGUCAGCACUGGAGCCGCCGUGUCAGGGGCUGGAACUGGGGGUUCUUCCACGUGGCCGUCACCGGAGAGCGAAGAGUCAAGCUGCAGUAACUCCCCGCUGCAGACAAGAUCCUGAACCGCAUCGCUUUAAUUACGCCAGCGCAAAUUUCAUUCAUUUGGUUAAGCCUGGGAGCUACAGAAAGAGCUAUUUCCAGGUGUGCUGGUGUAAUUAUUGCAUGCCCUGCAUUACCCACCGUGCACAGCUGCAUGGACUGGGUUUGUCAGACUCUCCGGCAGACCGGGACAAGUUCGCAGCCAUUGGCACGGCCACGGCCCCGCUCACGCCGCUGCACAUCCCAGCACACGG
RNAcentral lists this long non-coding RNA (665 nucleotides) under Chloebia gouldiae (Gouldian finch). RNAcentral's name for it is "Erythrura gouldiae (Gouldian finch) lncRNA (ENSEGOG00005004320.1)". Lineage: Eukaryota; Metazoa; Chordata; Aves; Passeriformes; Passeridae. The record is from RNAcentral.